AAGAUUCUAGUUAAAAUUAUAACACUGCCUUGUCAAGGCAGAAUUGCAGGUUAGACCCCCGCGUAUCUUG
This 70-nucleotide transfer RNA is filed under the name Oryzias latipes (Japanese medaka). RNAcentral's name for it is "tRNA-Asp". It matches the Rfam family "tRNA". From Rfam's summary of the family: Transfer RNA (tRNA) molecules are approximately 80 nucleotides in length. The record is from RNAcentral. Lineage: Eukaryota; Metazoa; Chordata; Actinopteri; Beloniformes; Adrianichthyidae.